GCACCUGUAGCUCAGGGGAGAGAGCAAUGGAUUCCGGUUCCAUGAGCGGGGGUUCGAAUCCCUCCAGGUGCG
RNAcentral lists this transfer RNA (72 nucleotides) under Lachnospiraceae bacterium XBB1006. It matches the Rfam family "tRNA". Rfam says of the family: Transfer RNA (tRNA) molecules are approximately 80 nucleotides in length. Their secondary structure includes four short double-helical elements and three loops (D, anti-codon, and T loops). RNAcentral also lists the same sequence under 1 other name. The record is from Rfam by way of RNAcentral. Lineage: Bacteria; Bacillati; Bacillota; Clostridia; Lachnospirales; Lachnospiraceae.